This 497-nucleotide ribosomal RNA is filed under the name uncultured bacterium. RNAcentral's name for it is "partial 16S ribosomal RNA". It matches the Rfam family "Bacterial small subunit ribosomal RNA", at positions 28 to 507 of the family's 1533-position model. The record is from RNAcentral.
GAUGAACGCUGGCGGCGUGCCUAAUACAUGCAAGUCGAGCGAACGGACGAGAAGCUUGCUUCUCUGAUGUUAGCGGCGGACGGGUGAGUAACACGUGGAUAACCUACCUAUAAGACUGGGAUAACUUCGGGAAACCGGAGCUAAUACCGGAUAAUAUUUUGAACCGCAUGGUUCAAAAGUGAAAGACGGUCUUGCUGUCACUUAUAGAUGGAUCCGCGCUGCAUUAGCUAGUUGGUAAGGUAACGGCUUACCAAGGCAACGAUGCAUAGCCGACCUGAGAGGGUGAGCGGCCACACUGGAACUGAGGCGCGGUCCAGACUCCUACGUGAGGAAGCAGUAGGGAAUCUUCCGCAAUGGGCGAAAGCCUGACGGAGCAACGCCGCGUGAGUGAUGAAGGUCUUCGGAUCGUAAAACUCUGUUAUUAGGGAAGAACAUAUGUGUAAGUAACUGUGCACAUCUUGACGGUACCUAAUCAGAAAGCCACGGCUAACUACGUG